GACGAACGCUGGCGGUGUGCUUAACACAUGCAAGUCGAACGGAAAGGCCCUGCUUUUGUGGGGUGCUCGAGGGGCGAACGGGUGAGUAACACGUGAGUAACCUGCUCUAGACUUUGGGAUAACUUCAGGAAACUGGGGUUACGACCGGAUAGCAGCUCCUGCUGCAGGGUGGGGGUUGGAAAGUUUCGGCUGGUGGGGAUGGACGAGCGGCUUAUCAGCUUGUUGGUGGGGUAGUGGCUUACCCAGGCUUUGAAGGGUAGCCGGCCUGAGAGGGGGAACGGCCUCAUUGGGACUGCGAUACGGCGCAGACUCCUACGGGAGGCAGCAGUGGGGAAUAUUGCACAAUGAGCGGAAGCCUGAUGCAGCAACGCCGCGUGCGGGAUGACGGCCUUCGGGUUGUAAACCGCUUUCGCCUGUGACGACGCGUGAGUGACGGUAAUGGGUAAAGAAGCACCGGCUAACUACGUG
Molecule: ribosomal RNA, 468 nt
Filed under: uncultured bacterium
Lineage: Bacteria
Description: partial 16S ribosomal RNA
Rfam family: Bacterial small subunit ribosomal RNA
Source: RNAcentral